Molecule: small nuclear RNA, 111 nt
Organism: Sorex araneus (European shrew)
Lineage: Eukaryota; Metazoa; Chordata; Mammalia; Eulipotyphla; Soricidae
Source: RefSeq, a predicted model, not a curated record
UUUUUUGGUAAUAAAAUUGGAAACAAAAUGAACAAUUUUUGGAAUGAUAGAAGGUUAGCAUGGCCCCUGUGUAAGAAUGGCAUGCAAAUUCAUGAAACGUUCCAUAAUUUU